This 154-nucleotide ribosomal RNA is filed under the name Subulicystidium brachysporum. Its description in RNAcentral is "5.8S ribosomal RNA". It matches the Rfam family "5.8S ribosomal RNA". From Rfam's summary of the family: 5.8S ribosomal RNA (5.8S rRNA) is a component of the large subunit of the eukaryotic ribosome. The record is from RNAcentral. Lineage: Eukaryota; Fungi; Basidiomycota; Agaricomycetes; Trechisporales; Hydnodontaceae.
AACUUUCAACAACGGAUCUCUUGGCUCUCGCAUCGAUGAAGAACGCAGCGAAAUGCGAUAAGUAAUGUGAAUUGCAGAAUUCAGUGAAUCAUCGAAUCUUUGAACGCACCUUGCGCCCUUUGGUAUUCCGAAGGGCAUGCCUGUUCGAGUGUCU